UAAUCGUAUAGGAUAAAAAUGAGGUC
Molecule: small RNA, 26 nt
Filed under: Bombyx mori (domestic silkworm)
Lineage: Eukaryota; Metazoa; Arthropoda; Insecta; Lepidoptera; Bombycidae
Description: ovarian small RNA-19678
Source: RNAcentral